RNAcentral lists this long non-coding RNA (617 nucleotides) under Olea europaea subsp. europaea. The record is from RNAcentral. Lineage: Eukaryota; Viridiplantae; Streptophyta; Magnoliopsida; Lamiales; Oleaceae.
CUUUGUUGUAUUUCUUUAUCUACUUAUUGUAUUAGUGUUUGAUAUCUAAAGAAUUGCAGUUUCUUAACCAAUAAAAAAUAUUUUUUCUCACAAAAUUUCAAUGUAAAUGAGGGCAAUUCAAUCACACCCUUCUGCUCACCUUGUUAGCUAUAGAACCUUGACAGGGAGUAUCUGAGGAGUUGGAAGGUCAUCACUUGCCGGGACAUGCUGCAUCAAUGGAUUUAAAUAUGCAUCCUUCGACUUCAGAAAAUUCUUGUACUAUUUCUAGUGAUGCUUUGCUGAAAAUCCAGGUAUAUGAUGCCCCUGUGUGCUAAUUUUACCAAUGAGAGUAGAUAGACAUACAGUGGCUCUCAAAUAUAGUCAUGCCUCAUUCUGUUGUUUGUUUAUAAGUUCAAAAUCAGAUUUUGCCGAUAAGCUUUAAAUUACUAGCUGAGAUUCAUGUUAAUUUACUUUCAAGUGUUUCCAUGUUUUCUUAACUAAAUAUUUGAUAUUGUUGGGUGGGAAGGAAAUAUUGGGUCCCUUGUUGGGAAGAGGGAAAGGGAGAGACUAGAUACUAUAGUUAAUGCAGUCCUUUCUUAAAGUUUUGCUACUAUUAUGGCAAAGAAUUUUUUUUUUUU